AUUGUUUUAAUCAACACAGAAAUCGAUAAAAAUAUAUUUACUUUUGUAAACCUUUAUGCCCCAAACACAUGUAAAGAUAGAAAUAUAUUCUUUAAAAAAGCUUUAAGUGUCAUUGAAAAAUAUAGUCUUGGUAUAAUUAUCAUAGGCGGUGAUAUGAAUGAAACGCUUAAUAUAAAAGAUAGAAAAAGUAAUAGAAAAGAUCAACAAAAAUAAAAAAUAAGACAAAUGGGCUAAAAACUCUGAUAAAAAAACUAAAAGUUAUAGAUAUAUGGAGAGCAAUAAAUCCAAAUAAAACGCAAUAUACCUGGAAAAGAAAAAAUAAUGAAGUAGCUAGUAGAAUUGAUUAUUUUCUAGUAGUCAAGAUGUGAGACCAAGAGUACUCAGCACUGAUAUACGACCUGCAACAAUUCAAUAUACAGAUCACUUAGCGAUUUCACUUAAAAUUAAUCAUUGUCAAGGGAACAAAGGAAAGGGAUACUUCAAAUUAAACAACAGUAUUCUUAAUGACGAAUCAUACAAAAUAAAAAUAAAUACUUUGAUAGAUAAAUAUGAAAAAUUAAGAAAUAAAAAAAGUCUAGCAAUCGUGUGGGAUCUCUUUAAAAUAGAAGUAAGAGAGAAAACUAUAGAACAUUGUAAAUUAAAAGCUAAACAUAAAAGAGAUGAAAUUACAAAACUCGAACAAAAACUUAAACUUUUGAAUGAAAUUCAUGAUAACAACCUGGAUGGAAAAAAUAAUAAUUUGCCAAAUAUAAUAGAUUCAAUAAAUAAAACAGAAGAAACGCUACAAACUCUAUAUUCAGAUAAAAUAAAAGGGGCACAAAUAAGAUCACGAGUUAAAUGGAUAGAAGAGGGCGAAAAAAAUACAAAAUAUUUCUUGGGAUUAGAAAAAUCAAGACAAACAAGGAAAAACAUUACUGCAUUAAGGACAGUAAAGGAGAAAUAACAGAAGAUCAAGGCAAAAUAUUAGAAACGGGGAGAAAUUAUUAUGUCAAUUUAUAUAAGUCAACUAACCCUGAUUUAAGAGAAAUUGAAAAUUAUAUUGAAAAAACUAAAAUAAAUUACAAAUUAAGUACACAAGAAGGUAAUGAAAUUGACGGCAACCUGACAAUAGAGGAAUGUACACAAUCUGUUUUUAAAAUGAAACUUAAUAAAACACCAGGUAUCGAUGGUCUCUCAAUUGAAUUUUAUAGAGCUUUCUGGUCCAACUUACAAAACUUUGCUGUAGAUGUUUUUAAUAAUUGCUAUGAAAAAAAAAGAAUUGACAAAUUCUCAGAAACUAGGAUUAAUUACCCUUAUAUACAAGAAAAACGACCCAUUAAAUUUAGAUAAUUAUAGACCAAUUACCUUACUAAAUGUAGAUACCAAAAUUAUAGCAUACUCUCUUGCACAAAGACUGAAACCAAUAUUGCAUAAAAUCAUUCAUAGUGAUCAAAACGGUUAUGUAAAAAAACAGAUAUAUUGGAUUUAAUAUUAGACAAAUCCAAGAUAUUAUAGAUUAUUCGGAAAAAUUCAAUGUAGAUGGAGCAAUCCUAUUUUUAGACUUCACAAAGGCAUUUGACUCGCUAGAAUGGGAAUUUAUGUAUUGUUCUUUAAAGAAAUUUGGUUUCCAGGAAUCUCUUUUGAGGUGGAUAAAUACUUUAUACACAGAUAUAAAGGGUUGCAUAUUAAAUAAUGGCUGGAUUUCAAGACCCUUCAACAUUGAGCGCGGAAUCCGUCAAGGGUGUCCCGCGAGUUCUAUAAUUUUCGUAAUUGCUGUUGAAAUUUUAGCUAGUAGAUUAAGACAAAAUAAAAAUUUUAAAGGUUUUCAAAUUAAACUAGAUAAUAAAACCCAUACAUUUAAAAUUAAGCCAGCUUGCAGACGACACCACUUUAUUUUUAAAUUCAAAACAAGAAGUGUCAUUAACUCUGAAUAUUAUAGAAAUUUUUGGAUCACUUUCAGGCCUAAAGCUUAACCGAAAUAAAACAGAAGGAAUAUGGCUCGGCAAUUUAAAGUCCUGCAAAGAUAAAGUUGAAAACAUUAAUUUUACACAAAAACCUAUAAAAGUUUUGGGAAUAUACUUUGGACUUAAUAAAAAUGAGUGUAAAAAAUUAAACUUGCAACGACAAUACGAAAAAUCUGAAAAAAUAAUUAAAGAUUGGAAUAAAAGAAAUUUAACUAUGUUAGGUAAGAUAACUCUUGUUAAAUCAUUAAUCUUACCGAAUAUUACUUACGUUGCAUCUGUAACCGAAAUUGAUAACGAAUACCUAGCAAAAUUUAAAAAAUUGAUAUACAGUUUUAUAUGGAAUAAUAAAUCAGAAAAAGUUAAAAGGGAUAUAAUAAGUAAAAAUUACCAUGCUGGCGGGCUUAAAAUGAUAAACAUAGAUAAAUAUCUAGAAGCGAUAAAUAUUAGU
This 2391-nucleotide long non-coding RNA is filed under the name Mytilus galloprovincialis (Mediterranean mussel). The record is from RNAcentral. Lineage: Eukaryota; Metazoa; Mollusca; Bivalvia; Mytilida; Mytilidae.